UUGCUCUUCGAUUCAGCGGCGGACGGGUGAGUAAUGCCUAGGAAUCUGCCUGGUAGUGGGGGACAACGUUUCGAAAGGAACGCUAAUACCGCAUACGUCCUACGGGAGAAAGCAGGGGACCUUCGGGCCUUGCGCUAUCAGAUGAGCCUAGGUCGGAUUAGCUAGUUGGUGAGGUAAUGGCUCACCAAGGCGACGAUCCGUAACUGGUCUGAGAGGAUGAUCAGUCACACUGGAACUGAGACACGGUCCAGACUCCUACGGGAGGCAGCAGUGGGGAAUAUUGGACAAUGGGCGAAAGCCUGAUCCAGCCAUGCCGCGUGUGUGAAGAAGGUCUUCGGAUUGUAAAGCACUUUAAGUUGGGAGGAAGGGCAGUAAGAUAAUACCUUGCUGUUUUGACGUUACCGACAGAAUAAGCACCGGCUAACUCUGUGCCAGCAGCCGCGGUAAUACAGAGGGUGCAAGCGUUAAUCGGAAUUACUGGGCGUAAAGCGCGCGUAGGUGGUUUGUUAAGUUGGAUGUGAAAGCCCCGGGCUCAACCUGGGAACUGCAUC
Molecule: ribosomal RNA, 551 nt
Filed under: Pseudomonas putida
Lineage: Bacteria; Pseudomonadati; Pseudomonadota; Gammaproteobacteria; Pseudomonadales; Pseudomonadaceae
Description: bacterial SSU rRNA
Rfam family: Bacterial small subunit ribosomal RNA
Source: RNAcentral